RNAcentral lists this ribosomal RNA (497 nucleotides) under uncultured bacterium. Its description in RNAcentral is "partial 16S ribosomal RNA". It matches the Rfam family "Bacterial small subunit ribosomal RNA", at positions 28 to 507 of the family's 1533-position model. The record is from RNAcentral.
GAUGAACGCUGGCGGCGUGCCUAAUACAUGCAAGUCGAGCGAACAGACGAGGAGCUUGCUCCUCUGACGUUAGCGGUGGACGGGUGAGUAACACGUGGAUAACCUACCUAUAAGACUGGGAUAACUUCGGGAAACCGGAGCUAAUACCGGAUAAUAUAUUGAACCGCAUGGUUCAAUAGUGAAAGACGGUUUUGCUGUCACUUAUAGAUGGAUCCGCGCCGCAUUAGCUAGUUGGUAAGGUAACGGCUUACCAAGGCAACGAUGCGUAGCCGACCUGAGAGGGUGAUCGGCCACACUGGAACUGAGACACGGUCCAGACUCCUACGGGAGGCAGCAGUAGGGAAUCUUCCGCAAUGGGCGAAAGCCUGACGGAGCAACGCCGCGUGAGUGAUGAAGGUCUUCGGAUCGUAAAACUCUGUUAUUAGGGAAGAACAAAUGUGUCAGUAACUAUGCACGUCUUGACGGUACCUAAUCAGAAAGCCGCGGCUAACUACGUG